CCUACGGGCGGCAGCAGUGAGGAAUAUUGGUCAAUGGACGGAAGUCUGAACCAGCCAUGCCGCGUGCAGGAAGACGGCUCUAUGAGUUGUAAACUGCUUUUGUACAAGGGUAAACCUGAAUACGUGUAUUCAGCUGAAAGUACUUUACGAAUAAGGAUCGGCUAACUCCGUGCCAGCAGCCGCGGUAAUACGGAGGAUCCAAGCGUUAUCCGGAUUUAUUGGGUUUAAAGGGUGCGUAGGCGGAUUGAUAAGUUAGAGGGGAAAUGUCCGAGCUUAACUCGGGAACUGCCUUUAAUACGGUUGAUCUAGAGAGUAGAUGCGGUAGGCGGAAUGUAUGGUGUAGCGGUGAAAUGCUUAGAGAUCAUACAGAACACCGAUUGCGAAGGCAGCUUACCAAUCUAUAUCUGACGUUGAGGCACGAAAGCGUGGGGAGCAAACAGGAUUAGAUACCCUGGUAGUC
RNAcentral lists this ribosomal RNA (460 nucleotides) under uncultured bacterium. RNAcentral's name for it is "partial 16S ribosomal RNA". It matches the Rfam family "Bacterial small subunit ribosomal RNA", at positions 338 to 795 of the family's 1533-position model. The record is from RNAcentral.